Molecule: ribosomal RNA, 397 nt
Filed under: uncultured bacterium
Lineage: Bacteria
Description: partial 16S ribosomal RNA
Rfam family: Bacterial small subunit ribosomal RNA
Source: RNAcentral
AUACGUAGGGGGCGAGCGUUGUCCGGAAUGAUUGGGCGUAAAGGGCGCGUAGGCGGCGCGGUAAGUCUGGAGUGAAAGUCCUGCUUUCAAGGUGGGAAUUGCUUUGGAUACUGCCGCGCUUGAGUGCAGGAGAGGUUAUCGGAAUUCCCGGUGUAGCGGUGAAAUGCGUAGAGAUCGGGAGGAGCACCAGUGGCGAAGGCGGGUAACUGGACUGCAACUGACGCUGAGGCGCGAAAGUGUGGGGAGCAAACAGGAGUAGAUACCCUGGUAGUCCACACUGUAAACGAUGAAUGCUAGGUGUAAGAGGUAUCGACCCCUUUUGUGCCGGAGUCAACACAAUAAGCAUUCCGCCUGGGGAGUACGGCCGCAAGGUUGAAACUCAAAUGAAUUGACGGGG